Myriangium duriaei CBS 260.36 is the source of this 82-nucleotide non-coding RNA. The record is from the annotation of a GenBank genome assembly. NCBI's taxonomy places the organism in Eukaryota, Fungi, Ascomycota, Dothideomycetes, Myriangiales, Myriangiaceae.
GGCACCGUGGCCUAAUGGUAAGGCGCUGCUUUCCGGCUCGUGAGCUUGGCAGAGAUUGUGGGUUCGAGUCCCAUCGGUGUCG